RNAcentral lists this ribosomal RNA (486 nucleotides) under uncultured bacterium. RNAcentral's name for it is "bacterial SSU rRNA". It matches the Rfam family "Bacterial small subunit ribosomal RNA", at positions 498 to 985 of the family's 1533-position model. The record is from RNAcentral.
UAACUUCGUGCCAGCAGCCGCGGUAAUACGAAGGGUGCUAGCGUUGUUCGGAAUUACUGGGCGUAAAGGGCGCGUAGGCGGCUUUCCAAGUCAGGGGUGAAAUCCCGGGGCUCAACCCCGGAAUUGCCUUUGAAACUGGAAAGCUAGAGUGUCGGAGGGGAUAGCGGAAUUGCUAAUGUAGAGGUGAAAUUCGUAGAUAUUAGCAGGAACACCGGUGGCGAAGGCGGCUAUCUGGACGACAACUGACGCUGAGGCGCGAAAGCAUGGGGAUCAAACAGGAUUAGAUACCCUGGUAGUCCAUGCCAUAAACGAUGGGUGCUAGCUGUUGGGAGGUUACCUCUCAGUAGCGCAGCUAACGCGUUAAGCACCCCGCCUGGGGAGUACGGUCGCAAGAUUAAAACUCAAAGAAAUUGACGGGGACCCGCACAAGCGGUGGAACAUGUGGUUUAAUUCGAGGCAACGCGAAGAACCUUACCAGCUUUUGAC